This 4886-nucleotide long non-coding RNA is filed under the name Helianthus annuus (common sunflower). Its description in RNAcentral is "hypothetical non coding rna". The record is from RNAcentral. Lineage: Eukaryota; Viridiplantae; Streptophyta; Magnoliopsida; Asterales; Asteraceae.
GUGCGAACGAGAGAAGGAACCAAGGGAACCAAAACCCUAAACAACCUAAAAUCAUCAAAUUGAAAGGGGAAUCGAGGGCUGAUCGAAUGCAUGAGUCUAGAUACCCUUUAAUCUAAGUGUAUUGAUCAUAAGGAACGUGUCAAGGAGAGCUCAAGCAUAGGAGGAUAACGGGUCAAGAUAAGGCAAGGUGACAAAUACACUUAUUGGAAUACUCGAGGUAAGUGAUUUCUAUAAUCACUUCUUUAGUUGUUUAAGUAAUAUAAUGUUUUAAUUAUUAAGUUCAUAUGAAGUUGAGGUUAAAUCAAUGGAUUAUUUUGAUAAAUGCACGAAUGGGUCGAAUAAUUCAUAGAUGAAUAACAAGCCGAAUACGUAUAAGUUAAGGAAUUCCUUAACUCGGAUGUUGGACUUCAAGAUCACGUGAUAGAAUAUUAAAUUACAAUCAUAUAGGAAGAAACGUGACGCAAAACGGACGAAAAAUGAGAGAGUUAUGUCCGUUUCAGUAAGGAUUAAUGGCUAGGAAAAGUGCAGAGUUGACACGGCCGGGUGGUGAACUGACACGGCCGGGUGAAGGUUCUGUCAAAAAUAUUAUUUAUGUGAUUUAUGCGCCGUAGGCUUCGGUAUAUUAUCCGUGAACUACGACGGGCCUCCCAAACAUGAUUUCGAGUGUUUCCUUGACGAUUAUAAGUUGUAAACCCAAGUCUAAGCCUCAUGUAAUUUAUAUAAGAGUGUGAUAGAUGUAUGUAAUGAAGUUGGACAUGUAUUACAUGUAAAUGUAUACAAAAAUACGUACGGAACACGUAGGUAUGAAUACAUGAUUGUAGGUAUGAUUAAAUGUAUAUUAGGUAUGUAGAUGUGUAUGAUUGUAAGUUUGUAUGUGUGCAAGUAUGUGCGAAUGCAUGAUUCGAUGCAUUUGAGAAUUAGCGUUACUAAUAAUGCCCUUGGGUUUGGAAUAUAAGUUGAUUGGAUGCAUUUAAAUGGUUAACGUCCUUUUUAUGAAGAUGUAGUAAAUGAAUAUGUUGAGAUUACGGGUUUGGCUAACCAAGUUAUUAUUGAGUAUGUUUGAAAGUGCAGGUGAUGAAUGUCGGACUUUCGAAGUGUUGAUAUAAUAAUGAAACGGUUGAAUGUUGAAAGGAUAAUCGGACUGAAGUAACUUAUGCGGUUAGAAUAUGCUAUGGACGUUUUAGUUUAUACAAUAUUAUAUGUUUGGUCGUCACCAUCUACUAACAGGUUCGUUGUAUGAGAGUAUAUGUCAUACCCAUUUAAUUGGGUAAUCGAAUGCGUAAGAAAAAUGAAAGUACGCACACGAAUGGAACUAAAAUGACGGUUUUAUAAGCAAACAAGUAUAACGACUAACUUUUUAAAGCUUUGUUGUUGAAUGUAGGUAAAUCCUCAAUUUUGGCGACUUGGAGAAUCGGAGCGAGCGCGUGUUCGUGUUAUGCGAUACCAAACGCUUCCGCUAGUUUGUUCAAAUGUUUUUGACCCAAAAUUUGUUGUAUUGGUUUUUAGUAGUAUCUUGUUGAACGAAUUGUAGAAUUGUAUCUAGUUUGUUUAUGUUUAAAACAGGGGUAUGCUCGUUUUAUGGACGGGUCAUGCCCGAUUUUUUUGUUAAAUUAUAGUUUGAUAAUAUCACAUUUAGGAAGGUGAAAUUUUGGGCGUAACAAGUUGGUAUCAGAGCCUAGGUUUGAGGGAUUCGAGCAAGAGUAUCAGUGCUUGAACUCAAACCGAUGACUCGUGCAAAAGUGUGCUCGCUCCGAGAUCGCCAAUGAGGCCAAGAGCACGCGGGUUAUGUGAAGGGUAAGCGCAAUUGUUCGGAAGGAUGAUCCGUGAAUGCGGUCUAGGACCGGCAUCAAGGCAAGUAAUAAGACGAAUUGACCCCUGGUGAGCUUGAUGAAUGGACACGCAAUGUUACUAAUCAGAAAGGAAGGAUCAUCGUAAGGUAUGGAUAACGAAUCAAUGGAAUUUACUUCCGUCAGGUAUGUAUAAAAAGAAGUGUAACUUUAAUAGAGGUUAGUACUCGACUAGAAAUGGAUGUGUCAGAAUAGAAUGUAUGUAUAUAUACAAACCGUAAUGCAAAAUGUGGAGUGAAUUUCAAAAUGUUCGUAAUGAUCGUCGGGUAGUAUUGAACUUGAAUGCUCGUAACUGUGGAAAUUCUGAUAGAAUAUAAGAGACGAUAAGUAUCCUUAAGAAAUGCUAACUUUGAUGCUCGGCUUGUUGGCCAUGUUCAUUUGAACAAGACAUUGUAGAAAAGAUACGCAUGGCAUAAAUAACAAUAAUAACCAUGGAAAUAAUGCUUAGUCUUCGUGAUUUAAGUAUGGAUAAGUAAGUUUAAGAAGGGACGUUGGUAACGGGAUGAUAGGGUUUGCUCGUGGUGAACAUAAUGAAAUAAUGUAUAUGAUAUAAUGAUAGAAUGAAACAAAUCAUAGAAAGUGAAAACGACACUAAUAAGAGCUCUGGAUCAGAUUAUGAGUUUUAUGUGAUUAUGAAAAUAAAUUACAUAAUUUAAGAACGUAAGGACAAUGCGUACAAUCAUGUUUAGGUAUGAAACAAACUUUUGACCAAGAUCCCGAAUGUAUUCAUGUUGUAAUAAGCAUCGUGAAUGAAUAGAUGGAAAGGUAAGAGUAGUAUUGGUCUACUAAGAAUAAGAAAGGUUUCGGGGACGAAACCUUCUUUAAGGGGGUAGACUUGUAACACGCCAAAUUUCGUAAGAUAUAUUACAAUGUUUUAAUCGCAAUAUUUGACUUUCAGAAAUGAUAAACAUAGAUUUCUACUAUUAUUAAAGUUUUAUAAACUAUGGAAAGUUUAAAGCAUAUGUGCACAUAAAGUUAACCAAGUUAGUAUGUGAAAUGAAAUAAGUGGCAUGUUUUAAAAGAUAGAGGGGUUAAAAUGGAAAUAUGCUAUAAAUAAACACUUGACAAAAAUUAGUCAGUGUUUGGUCUGGGCGUGCGAACGAGAGAAGGAACCAAGGGAACCAAAACCCUAAACAACCUAAAAUCAUCAAAUUGAAAGGGGAAUCGAGGGCUGAUCGAAUGCAUGAGUCUAGAUACCCUUUAAUCUAAGUGUAUUGAUCAUAAGGUGAGUUCAAUUUUCUGUUUUAAUGCUUCAUGAUUUAGUGGGUGUUGAACAAUUUGUGAAAAUUGUAUGAAAUCGAGUUGUAUGUGAAUUAGUAUCAUCAUGUAGAACGAGAAUCUUGCUCGAAUUUGAUGAAAUUGAAGAACUUGAGUGAAACCCAUUUUUGUUCUAGUGGUAUGUAGUGAUUUUAUGAUAGUGAAAGUUAUUUGAAAUUGAAGCAUGAAUGUAUAAACAGUAGAGUGUUGUUAGAUGAACUUGAUUGUAGACUAAGAAACUAUGUGAAACUAGGUUGAAUUGAUCAUUGUGAAAAGGACUAGUAGGUUAUGCAUAUCAUACAUGUACAUAGUGUUUAAAAUGUCAUACGCACACCAAGUGUUCGACUAAAUGCUUGAAUGAUAAAUUUGUAAUUUCCGAAUGAAUAUGAAUGUUGUAUGAUGAUAAACUAAUAAGAAUGUGCCUUAUAGUCUUGUACCGAAUACCAUGAUUAUGAUGCUUACAAGGUGUUUGAUAAAUGCCUACAAAGUUUGUGUAAAAUAGUUACUUUUGACAGCCUUAGAUAGUCAUCUUGUAAAGGCCGUAUCUCAUUCGUUAUUAGGAGUUAGACAACGAGCCUUAUAUCGUUGAAAAGGUUGUUUCGCAUAUUACAUUUUAUAUUUGGUCAUAAGAGGCUGAUUAUGAGAUUUAGUGGGUCAAAACAGCAUGAAAAGUUAGUAAAUUCGUUUUGACAGCAAGCUGUUUGGAAGCAUUUCAGCUUCUGUGCUGAUUUUGUAAAAAUCAUAUAAAAUCAUAGGAAUGUCCGAUUUUUACGAUCUUUAUAUGCUUAGAAAGAUCUCUGAGUGUAGAUCAUUUCAUAUUUGAACAUGAAGAACUGAAUCAGAAGAUAAAUGGGUUAAAAUGUGUCGUGAACAGCUGCUGCGCAGAAAGUUGCUGCACAUUUUUAGUAUAAAUAUUAAGUAAAAAUAGUUGUAUUGUUAUGCACACUUGUAUGAAUCAUGAACUACUGAUUUAAAUAAAUUAUUAGUAAGUUAUUUGAUUGUUUUAAGUGUCUAAAACACUUACCAACUAGUCUAUGCAUAUGAUUGCACCAACGGGUCGAAACGGGUUGUUGAUAGAAAAUAGUAGAAUGGAUGUGUAAAAACCAAGGUGUUAAGAAAUGGUACGAAAUGUUUAAUGUAUGAAACAAGUUGCCUAACUUAGAGAAUGUUAUCAUUCUAAGUAUGGAAUUUUGAAAGAAUAAUGAACAUGAUGUAAAUACAUAAUUAUGCAUGCUAGAAGCUCAUGUAUGACUUUUGUGAUGAUGGAAUGAUAAAUUGUUAGAUUGAUUAGCAUUGUAGUAUUAUGAUACAUGUUGAACUCGUUAAGCGAUUGACACGUGAAUAGAAGUGUGAUUAGUGAUGCGUAUGAUUACGUAUACUAACUAUUGAAUGGAUGUAAUGGAAUGAGAUAAUAGGAACGUGUCAAGGAGAGCUCAAGCAUAGGAGGAUAACGGGUCAAGAUAAGGCAAGGUGACAAAUACACUUAUUGGAAUACUCGAGGUGAUGAAUGUCGGACUUUCGAAGUGUUGAUAUAAUAAUGAAACGGUUGAAUGUUGAAAGGAUAAUCGGACUGAAGUAACUUAUGCGGUAAAUCCUCAAUUUUGGCGACUUGGAGAAUCGGAGCGAGCGCGUGUUCGUGUUAUGCGAUACCAAACGCUUCCGCUAGUUUGUUCAAAUGUUUUUGACCCAAAAUUUGUUGUAUUGGUUUUUAGUAGUAUCUUGUUGAACGAAUUGUAGAAUUGUAUCUAGUUUGUUUAUGUUUAAAACAGGGGUAUGCUCGUU